RNAcentral lists this ribosomal RNA (77 nucleotides) under Eubacterium sp. AM35-6AC. Its description in RNAcentral is "partial 16S ribosomal RNA". It matches the Rfam family "Bacterial small subunit ribosomal RNA", at positions 1 to 76 of the family's 1533-position model. Lineage: Bacteria; Bacillati; Bacillota; Clostridia; Eubacteriales; Eubacteriaceae. RNAcentral also lists the same sequence under 2 other names. The record is from RNAcentral.
UCAAAUGGAGAGUUUGAUCCUGGCUCAGGAUGAACGCUGGCGGCAUGCCUAAUACAUGCAAGUCGAACGAAGUCUUU